Molecule: long non-coding RNA, 3549 nt
Organism: Salvelinus fontinalis (brook trout)
Lineage: Eukaryota; Metazoa; Chordata; Actinopteri; Salmoniformes; Salmonidae
Exons: 3
Source: RefSeq, a predicted model, not a curated record
GUCAUUUUGCAGGGCUCUGGCAGUGCUCCUCCUGCUCCUCCUUGCACAAAGGCGGAGGUAGCGGUCCUGCUGCUGGGUUGUUGCCCUCCUAUGGCCUCCUCCACGUCUCCUGAUGUACUGGCCUGUCUCCUGGUAGCGCCUCCAUGCUCUGGACACUACGCUGACAGACACAGCAAACCUUCUUGCCACAGCUCGCAUUGAUGUGCCAUCCUGGAUGAGCUGCACUACCUGAGCCACUUGUGUGGGUUGUAGACUCCGUCUCAUGCUACCACUAGAGUGAAAGCACCGCCAGCAAUCAAAGUAACCAAAACAUCAGCCAGGAAGCAUAGGAACUGAGAAGUGGUCUGUGGUCACCACCUGCAGAACCACUCCUUUAUUGGGGGUGUCUUGCUAAUUGCCUAUAAUUUCCACCUGUUGUCUAUUCCAUUUGCACAACAGCAUGUGAAAUGUAUUGUCAAUCAGUGUUGCUUCCUAAGUGGACAGUUUGAUUUCACAGAAGUGUGAUUGACUUGGAGUUACAUUGUGUUGUUUAAGUGUUCCCUUUAUUUUUUUGAGCAGUGUAUUUUCCAUAACCCAAAAUAUUGUAUUUUCAGCUGUUCGAAGCUUGUGUACAAAACCAAAAGUAAAAAGAAUACAAAUCAGUUUGUCACACAUGAAAUCAAUCAAUAAUUUGUUCAUUUCAUCACACAGACGAGUCAUUCAUGCUUUGAAAUGCAAUCAAGCAUUUUAGUUUUAAAACAAAGUAAUAAAGGGAGCUUUGUAUAAUUAGCCUAAACAAUAACUAAACGGCAAUUUACUAACUGUUUUUAGUCUUUGCUGUAAUAAAAGCUUAAUAUAUUGUUCUUUAGAAUUGACUCUGGUACACUUAUAGCUGAUUUUAGUUGACUUUAUUCAAAGACAUAGGGUGUGUCUAUAUAUGGGAAAAAUACACGUUGACAUUUCAACCAAUCGAUUGGUCGAAAAAACAGACUACUCUCGGUCGACCAAGAUCUUUUUAGUCAGGGACUUGCAUAACUCCAAAUACAGGUGUGCCAAGCUUGUAGUGUCAUACCCAAGACUCGACGCUGUAAUCGCUGACAAAGGUGCUUCAAAGUACUGAGUAAAGGGUCAGAAUACUAAAUAAAGUAUGUUUAUUUUUUAUACAUUUGCAAAAAUGUCAAAAACCUGUUUUCACUUUGUCAUUAUGGGGUAUAGUGUGUAGAUUGAUGAGUCAAUAAACAUUACAUUAAUUUUAGAAUAAGGCUGUAACGUAACAAAAUGUGGGGAAAAAGUGAAGAGGGUCGGAAUACUUUACAAAUGCACUGUAGCUAACAUAAAGUGACCAUUUGAUUGAAAAAACAUCGUAUUGACUAAGUUUGUCGCUCCAACAGAUUCUCACUUCCACGUGCACAUUGUCGUCCAUUAGCAACAAACGAUGAGCUCCUUUUUUGUAGCAUUUCUAACAUAUUUUCAGCCGGAUCUCCGAGUUAUAUUCAAACGGGUCAGUAACUCUGUUGCUCUGGAACAAUACAGUUACUAUUAGCUAAAAUUAGCUUAUUUGCCCAAAGUCCAGCAGCUAGCCUCUGCAGCUAGCUAGGUAACACCAGUCAGCUGAAAGCUAGCUAGCUAAUGAACGGGCAAAGAAAGGUAGCUAGCUAUAUUUGUUUAUGGGAGGUUUGAUACACAUAUAACAAAGCCAUUCGGCAGGUAAAGCCAGACAACAACAGCUGACCUAGACACACAUGGAAGCUCAUGAUAGCUAAUUCACUUCCAAAUGCCAGUCCUACAUUUUUCCACAAAACAUAGCUAGCUAGCUAACUACAUCAGUUCAAAACCAACACAAAACGUUGGGCAAAUUGCCACGCUGCUAGCUUACAAUGCAUGCAAUGCAAUUGGCUUUUGCAACACUAGCUAGUUCUAUAGUCCAAGCUAUGGUAAGAGCUAGGCAUUUGACAGGCUUCAUUCUUUUUACAGCUCCGAUCUGGAUGGAGGACUAGCCCAUGUGUAGGAUAUUUGUCAACAACUCUGCAGUGCACGCUGUUCCAGCUGUGUGGUGCUUGGGUUGGGGAACGGGGCUAAUGCCCCCGAAACCACCGAGUCUUCAAUAUGAAGCAAGACUGCUCAAUGUGUGCUUUGCAUCAUCCAGAGAAAACUGAAGAUCAUCUGACCAACUGGGUUUGUCUUUGUGUAAUAUAACAGUAGGCUCAUGUAGUUUCAUCCUUCACAAUUAAUUGAGCUAUUCACAUAGUGAAAGCUGGAGACAAUUACCUUUGACUAUCCAUGGUCAAUUCUAAACAUACUUCAACAAUUAGUUCAAAACUGAUUUUAGCUAUUAGAGCGCAACAGCCAGCAGACUGUAUAUUCUCAUUUUAAUCUGACGUCUAGAAUUUGUAACAGAAAUUCUGAAUCCAGAUGUCUUUGUUCCAAUGUUUUUUCAAGUUCAAAUGUAAUAAACGAUAUAUCAAAACUAUUUUAUUAUAGACAUAUAUGAUAUUGGGAUUACUCUGAAUAUCACACAUGGACAUUUCCUAUGGCCGGAUAUGGAAUCAUUCAAUUUCCUGAUGUAUGUGACACCCUAUUUUCUUUCUUCAUGAUGAUCAAUACUGACUGUAUACAUUGCAUAUCUGUGUUUUCUCAGCACAUUCAAGACAUUAAGCUUAUCUUGGUUGAGGUCCAUAUAUGGAUCUUGAUAUGCUGAAAAUAAGGAGGAUUUCUGAUGCAGUUUUCAGCAAAGGCUCAAUAAUUAGACAAAUAUGAAAUUCAUUAUUUUAUUAAAAUAAUUUAUGGAUUCCCUCCCGAUAUCAUACAUGGUAUGGCCAGAUAUUGACUCAUUAUAUAUCAUGAGAUAGGCCUAUUUCUCAAUAUGAUGACAAAUACUGACAGUAGGCCUACAUUGUAUAUUUUCUCAGCACAUACAAUGCAUAUGCUCUUGACUGAGGUCUACAUCAGGAUCUUGAUAUGCUAAAUAAGGACCAUUUCUGAUGCUUAUUUGCGCUGAGAACAUGCUCAAUAAUUUGACUAAUAUUAACUCCAUAUCAUUCUUUGAUUCAUUGUUGUAUUACCUCUGCAUAAAGACCCGGGGAAACACAAGCUAAAAGCACCAUAACUGGUAGCCUAGCAACAAGAAUCACCUAUUUUCAACUGCCUUUUUUAUUUGGGCGCCAAAAAUGUGUGUAAACGGUGUUUGUGGUCAAACUGACAUCUGGAUAAACAAAGUGAGAAGGUGUUCAGAAAAUACCUCAAAGAGGUUAACCAAAGCCUCUCAAUGGCCAAUAUAUAGCAUGAGCAAUCCAGGGUUUAUAUACAUCACUGGUGUAGCCGAUGCCUAAUUAUUUCUCCCUGGGUCUGAUUUGACCUGCUGCUGGUUGCGCAUUGCCUUGUAUCAUCAAUCUGUGUGCGAUGAGCUAGUAGGCUACUUGGCUGAAAUUACCACCAUGGUUUCUUUUGUCCUGCUGUUCAAAUCGAACUCAUGGUUAUUGAAAGGUCAAAUAUGAAGACCUAGACAUGUUAUACACCACAGUAGGCAUACUGUUCAUGAAAGUCAAACAAACUUACCCGAUCCAUAGUGGA